CCUACGGGGCGCAGCAGUGGGGGAUAUUGCACAAUGGGGGAAACCCUGAUGCAGCGACGCCGCGUGGGUGAAGAAGUAUUUCGGUAUGUAAAGCCCUAUCAGCAGGGAAGAAAGAAGACGGUACCUGACUAAGAAGCCCCGGCUAACUACGUGCCAGCAGCCGCGGUAAUACGUAGGGGGCGAGCGUUAUCCGGAUUCACUGGGUGUAAAGGGAGCGUAGACGGCCGUGCAAGCCAGGAGUGAAAGCCCGGGGCCCAACCCCGGGACUGCUCUUGGAACUGUGCGGCUGGAGUGCGGGAGGGGCAGGCGGAAUUCCUGGUGUAGCGGUGAAAUGCGUAGAUAUCAGGAGGAACACCGGCGGCGAAGGCGGCCUGCUGGACCGCGACUGACGUUGAGGCUCGAAAGCGUGGGGAGCGAACAGGAUUAGAUACCCGAGUAGUC
This 441-nucleotide ribosomal RNA is filed under the name uncultured bacterium. Its description in RNAcentral is "partial 16S ribosomal RNA". It matches the Rfam family "Bacterial small subunit ribosomal RNA", at positions 338 to 795 of the family's 1533-position model. The record is from RNAcentral.